CAACGAUGGAGGAGCAAGGUCGACCAACAGCAAAAGACAGGAUGAUGAGUCCAUUUCCCAUCUCUAUGCAGCAACCAAUAUGGCUCAAGGUUCAGAAGAAAUUUGAGGCUGACCAGGAUCCUGAAGUGAAGAGCAGUCCCUCUCCCAUUUAACAGCGUUCAUGAGCAGAAAGUGCGGAAGCAGAGAUAGCCACCUCUGAAGGUCAGUCUGGAGUGUUUUCUGCUGCAUUCAGAAAGUAUGGGGUGUAUAGUAGUUGUAAGUAGCGUUACAAAGGUGUUUCUUAGUCUUAGGUUUAGUUUGUAUAGUAUUUCCGGUAGGUGCAGUUGUGUUGUAGUUUGAGUUAGUAAGUAGGCUUUAGUUGAUAGUUAGACAGCUUAGAGGAGUGUAGGUUAUUAUUGUAAUUAAGGUAUUUGUUAGUUAGUGCAUGAUUAGUGCUUGUGGUGGAUAGGUUUGCAUGAUUAACACCCUAACAAGCAGGGUUCUCCAUGAGCUGUUUUACUGUGUUGGUCCCGACACAGAAAAAUGUUCUCCGACACAGUAAAGAUUCAAAUUUUAUCUGUGCGACACAUUAAAAAUUUUGCUGACACAGUAAGAUCUGUGAUAAUAAAAAAAAAUUGAAACAUACAAAUUCUCUCUAUCUGAAACAUAAUUGAUCAAACAAUUCUACCGUCUUUCAAUUCUAUACGAUAUCUAGAUCACUUAAUUAUGCUUUCACCUUGCAUAAUCAAUUAUUUCCUAGACCCUCAAUGGACUUGACGCAUGAAGGAACAAAGACAAAAAAUUGGAUUUCAAACUUCCAUGUAACGCUUAAUUGGUACUAGUAGUUGCAAUUAAAGUACAUUGUAUUAUUUUUAAAAAUAUAUUUAAAUGUCUUUUCUUUAGAGCCAUGGCUCUAGAAUUAUGUUUGCAAUGUAAAUCAAACAUAACACUGUACCAAAAUCAUUUACUUGAUGUAAAUAAAUAGUUUUCAAUUUUCAAGGAACUUUUAAAAGUAUUUUACUAUUCCGAAGUCUCUUUUUUUGUAAUUCCUUAAUUCGAUCAAUAAAAUUGACAAAAAAAUUAUGACAAAUUUGCUUUAAAAAAUUGUAAGUAGUUCAACUUUAUAGACAAGAAUUUCCUCUGCAUUUCACAACAUGUGCUAAUAUGUUCGACCAUACUAUUUUUGUAACGAAUUGGUGAUUUUUUUUUUUUUUUAAAUUGUGUGCAUGUAUUCUUAAGUAAUUAUAAUGAAUAGUGAGUCAGUUGCAAAUUUGAUCGCUAAAAUACCGUGAAAUUUUAGUGCUUUGCGUAAACUCUGCAACACAGUAAAAUUUCAAACAAUGGAGAACCCUGAACAAGUAACAAGCUACUAAAACUACUAACGUCUGCUAAAUGUUGUGUGACGCGUCUAGUGUGUUGGUGUUAGUGUCUGUGUGCUUGUCACCUCUCGCUUUCAGCCAUCACCGCUGGCUAGCAGCAAUGCGAAAAGGGGGAAGAAAUUCUAACAUCUUCCCCUGCCAGUACAUAGCCUCUCCACAACAAGUCCUAUGCGAUGCCUCCACGUGGAAGCAGACGGAUACUGGGUAUCAUUUUGUCCCAGGCUAAGUUCGCAAGGGCGCACGGGAAGAUGAGUCUCAAAAGCAUUGAGGAAUACUUUUAAGGCUAAACAGGAUCCUGAAAUGAGGAGGACUCCCUCUCUCAUCGAACUGCAUACAGCAGCAGAAAGCAGGAUUUCAGUUCCCCUUUGAUUCAGAAGAGGAACAACAAUGGAGGACCAAGGUCAUUAAUAUAAGAAGAGUCUAUUCCUGUCUGUGUUUUGCAGCAGAAGAAAGUUAAGACUGACCAGGAAUUCUAAGUGAGGAAGAGUCCCUUUCCCAUUCCGCUGCAGCCAUGAGGAGAAUACUCGUAAGAAUCAGACUUUACUUCUUUUUCACCUAUGGAACUUCAUCAUGACCCACUUUAACAGGCAGGAGUCUUACAAGUAUUUUUUAUUUAAUUAUUUCUGACAUAUCUUUGUCCUCCCUACUCUAAAGUAACUAUGCUUUCCUCUCCUUGCCCCAAUAUUCCACCUUAUUCCUAGCUAUCAUAACCUUAUUGUCUUUAUUUGCUUUUUGAUUUUCAAGCUAAUAAUGUUGUAAUGAUUAUGUUCAUUUGAAUUUCUGUGAUUAUUACAUUGCUUUGUAUUAUUGCUUAUCUUCUCUCCAUCAAGUAUUUUCAAGGAAUUUGACAAGGGAAGAGGACCAGUGCUGACCAAGUGAAGAAAAAGAAGAGUCUAUUGCCAAGCUUUGUACAGCAGCCAAUAUCUGAUUAAGGAGUGGAAGAUGAGACUGAUCUCAAUCAGUUAACAAGAAUGUGGAAAGUAAGGACUUACUACUGUCUAACCUAAACAUUGAUGGCAGGCGGUUAUGCUGGCAUUGAUCCUGUUUCCAAAAGCAGAUCAACAUGAUUCCUCAAGACUCCAAAGAGAUCAACUAUGGGACCUGAAAAUAAAGGCAGACUGCCAUCAAUUUCAUGUUUCUUUGAUAGCAGACAAAUAUGCUUCAACAAUAGUGCAGAGAGUAAUUUAAGGUUUGGACUGCAAGUGAUGGACACACUAAAUAACUCAACUCAAAGAAUUCAAUGGAUAGUGCUGAGUACAUUAUUAUAUAUCUACAAAUUGAUGGGCACACUAAAUAGCUUAACUGA
This is a long non-coding RNA of Saccostrea cuccullata (small rock oyster), 2664 nucleotides long. RefSeq lists it as uncharacterized. The transcript is spliced from 9 exons. Lineage: Eukaryota; Metazoa; Mollusca; Bivalvia; Ostreida; Ostreidae. The record is from RefSeq and is a predicted model, not a curated record.